This 433-nucleotide ribosomal RNA is filed under the name uncultured bacterium. RNAcentral describes it as "partial 16S ribosomal RNA". It matches the Rfam family "Bacterial small subunit ribosomal RNA", at positions 29 to 507 of the family's 1533-position model. The record is from RNAcentral.
AACGAACGCUGGCGGCAUGCCUAACACAUGCAAGUCGAACGAGACCUUCGGGUCUAGUGGCGCACGGGUGCGUAACGCGUGGGAACCUGCCCUUAGGUUCGGAAUAACUCCCCGAAAGGGGUGCUAAUACCGGAUAAUGUCUUCGGACCAAAGAUUUAUCGCCUUUGGAUGGGCCCGCGUUGGAUUAGCUAGUUGGUAGGGUAAAAGCCUACCAAGGCGACGAUCCAUAGCUGGUCUGAGAGGAUGAUCAGCCACACUGGGACUGGGACACGGCCGAGACUCCUACGGGAGGCAGCAGUGGGGAAUAUUGGACAAUGGGCGGAGGCAUGAUCCAGCAAUGCCGCGUGAGUGAUGAAGGCCUUAGGGUUGUAAAGCUCUUUUACCCGGGAUGAUAAUGACAGUACCGGGAGAAUAAGCUCCGGCUAACUACGUG